UGCAGCAAGGACGACAAAGGUAAUGUUCUUCCUUUUGUUUUUAUGUAAGGGAAACAAUCUGUUCUAAUCUACAGAGACUCUUUUCCGCAUCCCCUCAACUCUUUUGUUCACAUCCCCCGUUCCCAUCAGCAGGGCUCGCCACCCACUCACUCUCUCACGAACACGAACACACACACUAUUCCGGAUACUUAGACAGAGAUGCUCUUUUAUCCGUCUCUCCGAGCUCUUGGCGGGGAGUGGUUGCUGAGUGUGUGUGUGUGUGUGCCCUGCUGUGAAUGUUUUCACUGUGUCACCAAACAGGAAGAAGGAAGUUCCAUCCAGCGGCUGUUAUAUCACCCCCCUCCCAAAAAAAAGCCGUGGACGGCAGCAAAGUGCCAGAGGUGUAACUAAUUCAGGCCUGACUCAUUUGCUCCCGAAACAGGCUGCUCCUGGAACUACAAUGAGGUUAAACUGCCCUUCAACUCCACUCUGCAGCCUCCCCUUCAGUUCCCAUCAUUCCCUCACAUCCUAUUCUCCAUCUUCCUCCAUUUGGAAUUUAUUAGCUAUGACAAACGGAGGGAACACAAAACAAAGCGGC
Molecule: long non-coding RNA, 577 nt
Organism: Phyllopteryx taeniolatus (common seadragon)
Lineage: Eukaryota; Metazoa; Chordata; Actinopteri; Syngnathiformes; Syngnathidae
Exons: 3
Source: RefSeq, a predicted model, not a curated record